This 2856-nucleotide ribosomal RNA is filed under the name Solemya velum gill symbiont. RNAcentral's name for it is "bacterial LSU rRNA". It matches the Rfam family "Bacterial large subunit ribosomal RNA". The record is from RNAcentral. Lineage: Bacteria; Pseudomonadati; Pseudomonadota; Gammaproteobacteria.
GUUAUAUGGUCAAGUGAAUAAGCGUACACGGUGGAUGCCUAGGCGGUAAGAGGCGAUGAAGGACGUUGUAAUCUGCGAUAAGCUUCGGGGAGCUGAUAAACAAGCUUUGAUCCGGAGAUUUCCGAAUGGGGAAACCCACCUGUCAUAAGACAGGUAUCUUAUACUGAAUACAUAGGUAUAUGAGGCGAACCCGGGGAACUGAAACAUCUAAGUACCCGGAGGAAAAGAAAUCAAUUGAGAUUCCCUAAGUAGCGGCGAGCGAACGGGGACCAGCCCUUAAGUUCUUGGUGUGAUAGUGGAACAGUCUGGAAAGUCUGGCGAUACAGGGUGAUAGCCCCGUACACUAAAUCUAACUUUGAAUGAAAUCGAGUAGGACGGGACACGUGAUAUCCUGUCUGAAUAUGGGGGGACCAUCCUCCAAGGCUAAAUACUACUUACCGACCGAUAGUGAACUAGUACCGUGAGGGAAAGGCGAAAAGAACCCCGUUGAGGGGAGUGAAAUAGAACCUGAAACCGUGUACGUACAAGCAGUAGGAGCCCUUCGGGGUGACUGCGUACCUUUUGUAUAAUGGGUCAGCGACUUACUUCUCAGUAGCAAGCUUAACCGAAUAGGGGAGGCGUAGGGAAACCGAGUCUUAAUAGGGCGUUUAGUUGCUGGGAGUAGACCCGAAACCGGGCGAUCUAUCCAUGGCCAGGGUGAAGGUGAAGUAACAUUCACUGGAGGCCCGAACCCACUUAUGUUGAAAAAUGAGGGGAUGAGCUGUGGAUCGGAGUGAAAGGCUAAUCAAGCCCGGAGAUAGCUGGUUCUCCUCGAAAGCUAUUUAGGUAGCGCCUCGUGUAUCACCUAUGGGGGUAGAGCACUGUUUCGGCUAGGGGGUCAUCCCGACUUACCAAACCGAUGCAAACUCCGAAUACCAUAGAGUGCAAUCACGGGAGACACACGGCGGGUGCUAACGUCCGUCGUGGAAAGGGAAACAACCCAGACCGCCAGCUAAGGUCCCAAAAUCAUAUCUCAGUGGGAAACGAUGUGGGAAGGCCCAGACAGCCAGGAGGUUGGCUUAGAAGCAGCCAUCCUUUAAAGAAAGCGUAAUAGCUCACUGGUCGAGUCGGCCUGCGCGGAAGAUUUAACGGGGCUUAAGAUAUGUACCGAAGCUGCGGAUGCAUGUUUACAUGCAUGGUAGAGGAGCGUUCUGUAAGCGGUUGAAGGUGUGCUGUAAGGCAUGCUGGACGUAUCAGAAGUGCGAAUGCUGACAUGAGUAACGAUAAAGGGGGUGAGAGGCCCCCUCGCCGAAAACCCAAGGUUUCCUGCUCAACGCUAAUCGGAGCAGGGUUAGUCGGCCCCUAAGGCGAGGCAGAAAUGCGUAGUCGAUGGGAAACAGGUUAAUAUUCCUGUACCACUUAUCAUUGCGAUGGAGGGACGGAGAAGGCUAGACCAGAACACAGACGGUUUUGUGUAUCUAAGGCAGUAGGCAGAUCUUUUAGGUAAAUCCGGAAGGUCAAUGCUGAGAGCUGAUGGCGACGGUUCUACGGAACCGGAGUGGUCAAUGCCAUACUUCCAGGAAAAUCUUCUAAGCUUCAGAUGAUAAGUGACCGUACUCUAAACGGACACACGUGGGUAGGGUGAGAAUCCCAAGGCGCUUGAGAGAACUCGGGUGAAGGAACUAGGCAAAAUGGUACCGUAACUUCGGGAGAAGGUACGCCCUUGCCGGUGAUCGGACUUGCUCCGUAAGCUGGUGGGGGUAGCAUUAAAAUGGUGGCUGCAACUGUUUAUUAAAAACAUAGCACUCUGCAAACACGAAAGUGGACGUAUAGGGUGUGACGCCUGAUCGAAGCCCCGGUAAACGGCGGCCGUAACUAUAACGGUCCUAAGGUAGCGAAAUUCCUUGUCGGGUAAGUUCCGACCUGCACGAAUGGCGUAAUGAUGGCCACACUGUCUCCACCCGAGACUCAGUGAAAUUGAAAUAGCUGUUAAGAUGCAGUUUACCUGCGGCUAGACGGAAAGACCCCGUGCACCUUUACUACAGCUUUGCACUGGACUUUGAGCCUACUUGUGUAGGAUAGCUGGGAGGCUUUGAAACCGGAUCGCUAGAUUCGGUGGAGCCAACCUUGAAAUACCAGCCUGGUAUGUUUGAAGUUCUAACCUCGACCCGUUAUCCGGGUUAGGGACAGUGUAUGGUGGGUAGUUUGACUGGGGCGGUCUCCUCCCAAAGAGUAACGGAGGAGCGCGAAGGUACCCUCAGCGCGGUCGGACAUCGCGCAAUGAGUGCAAUAGCAUAAGGGUGCUUGACUGAGAGACAGACACGUCGAUCAGGUACGAAAGUAGGCUAUAGUGAUCCGGUGGUUCUGUAUGGAAGGGCCAUCGCUCAACGGAUAAAAGGUACGCCGGGGAUAACAGGCUGAUACCGCCCAAGAGUUCAUAUCGACGGCGGUGUUUGGCACCUCGAUGUCGGCUCAUCACAUCCUGGGGCUGAAGUCGGUCCCAAGGGUAUGGCUGUUCGCCAUUUAAAGUGGUACGCGAGCUGGGUUUAGAACGUCGUGAGACAGUUCGGUCCCUAUCUGCCGUAGGCGUUUGAGACUUGAGGGAAGCUGCUCCUAGUACGAGAGGACCGGAGUGGACGAACCUCUGGUGUUCCGGUUGUCACGCCAGUGGCAUUGCCGGGUAGCUAUGUUCGGAAGGGAUAACCGCUGAAAGCAUCUAAGCGGGAAGCCCCUCCCAAGAUUAGGUCUCACUGGACCUUUAAGGUCCCUGAAGGGUCGUUGAAGACUACAACGUUGAUAGGUCGGGUGUGGAAGCGCAGUAAUGCGUGAAGCUAACCGAUACUAAUUGCCCGUGAGGCUUGACCAUAUAACACCCAA